RNAcentral lists this ribosomal RNA (462 nucleotides) under uncultured bacterium. RNAcentral's name for it is "partial 16S ribosomal RNA". It matches the Rfam family "Bacterial small subunit ribosomal RNA", at positions 338 to 795 of the family's 1533-position model. The record is from RNAcentral.
CCUACGGGUGGCAGCAGUGAGGAAUAUUGGUCAAUGGACGCAAGUCUGAACCAGCCAAGUAGCGUGCAGGAUGACGGCCCUCCGGGUUGUAAACUGCUUUUAGUUGGGAACAAAAGGGGGCUCGUGAGCCCCGUAUUGUAUGUACCAUCAGAAAGAGGACCGGCUAAUUCCGUGCCAGCAGCCGCGGUAAUACGGAAGGUCCGGGUGUUAUCCGGAUUUAAUGGGUUUAAAGGGAGCUUAGGGCAGCUUUUAAGGCAGCUGUGAAAGUCCGCGGCUCAACCGUGGAAUGGCAGUUGAAACUGGAGGCCUUGAGUGCACACAGGGAAGCCGGAAUGCAUGGUGUAGCGGUGAAAUGCUUAGAUAUCAUGAAGAACUCCGAUCGCGAAGGCAAGUGUCCGGGGUGCAACUGACGCUGAGGCUCGAAAGUGCGGGUAUCAAACAGGAUUAGAUACCCGAGUAGUC